Molecule: transfer RNA, 95 nt
Filed under: Candidatus Margulisiibacteriota bacterium
Lineage: Bacteria; Bacillati; Candidatus Margulisiibacteriota
Description: Candidatus Margulisbacteria bacterium (hot springs metagenome) tRNA-Ile
Rfam family: tRNA
About the family: Transfer RNA (tRNA) molecules are approximately 80 nucleotides in length. Their secondary structure includes four short double-helical elements and three loops (D, anti-codon, and T loops). Further hydrogen bonds mediate the characteristic L-shaped molecular structure. tRNAs have two regions of fundamental functional importance: the anti-codon, which is responsible for specific mRNA codon recognition, and the 3' end, to which the tRNAs corresponding amino acid is attached (by aminoacyl-tRNA synthetases). tRNAs cope with the degeneracy of the genetic code in two manners: having more than one tRNA (with a specific anti-codon) for a particular amino acid; and 'wobble' base-pairing, i.e. permitting non-standard base-pairing at the 3rd anti-codon position.
Source: RNAcentral
GGGCCUGUAGCUUAGCUUGGUGGAGCACACGACUGAUAAAAAAUUAAAACCAUUUAGAAAUCGUGCGGUCCGGAGUUCAAAUCUCCGCAGGCCCA